Molecule: long non-coding RNA, 281 nt
Filed under: Elaeis guineensis (African oil palm)
Lineage: Eukaryota; Viridiplantae; Streptophyta; Magnoliopsida; Arecales; Arecaceae
Description: long non-coding RNA (EGUI_LNC024105)
Source: RNAcentral
CCAUAGGUAUACUUCAGCGUUCAUCGAUCUUUAUCUUACUGAGCAUAGUUGGCUCCAACCGCUUCUUUCCUUCGACAUCCACCUCCAUCGGACCACAUCAAAGCCUCAACAAAAGAAGCUGGUUCAGUCUAGUCUACAUCCUCAUUUUAAAAUUCAAAAGCCUCUACAAUAUUUAGCUAGCUUCAGAAUAGAUAAGACAAGUGUAACCAUCCGAUCUCAAAAAUUUUGGUUGAAAAUUCCAUUAUAUUGUGCCUAAAUAGGCCAUGUAACCUGUCAAAAAU